This is a long non-coding RNA of Camelina sativa (false flax), 905 nucleotides long. RefSeq lists it as uncharacterized. The record is from RefSeq and is a predicted model, not a curated record. Lineage: Eukaryota; Viridiplantae; Streptophyta; Magnoliopsida; Brassicales; Brassicaceae.
UAACUUUUCUUACCCAAAAAAAAAGAAAGAAAGACAAGAUAAUAAGAAGUGAAAAACUCUAUUAUACAUAUUCAUUUGAUCAAUUAUUUUCUCUAGGCCUCGGCAAUCGGCAUAAACCGAAUGAACCGAAAAUUUCGGUUAUCGGCACCGAAUGUGAGAGGGGAAUCAAACCGAUCGGCGAAAUUAUUUUGGUACUUCGGUUAUUGAUUCGGUUCGGUUCGGCGAGCUAUAACCGAUCGGUUUUUCUUAACCGAGAUAUAUAUUUCCCCAAAACUCUCAUUAACCCUAAUCCCCUUUAUUUCUUCUCCUCUCUUCUCCGUCUUCGACCUAAUGCCUCUCUCUCUGCGAAAAUUUCAUACCCAUGAAGGCGAAUAGCCGAGAAUUAGAAACUUCAAUCACUCAUCAUCAUCCUCUUCUCGUCUCUUCUUCAUACAACUCCUCUUCACCUCAAUUUUGAUGUAGAUAAUCAUCUCUUUAUUUGUCGAGUACAAAUCCUAAUCGGGAAUUCCAGUCUGAUAAUUGUAGGUCACAGAUCUCGUCCCGUAUAGAUUUCCUUAUCACAAGCUUCAUCGUCGGGUGUAGAUCUCAUGGCUAGCGAGACGAACGGCGGGUAACAAGUCUCCUGAGCACAGUUAUCGUCCGCCGUCGCAGUACCGUCACCGUCGCAGCGGCACCUCAUCCUUUUUGUCGAAACCCUAAUUGUAUAAUGGAUUUGGGCUUGUCAAUAGAUUAGAUUUAGGCUAUUAUCAGUAUUUUUAUUAGGCCCAUUAUUUUGUUAUCUAGGCCCGCUACUUUGUUGGGUAAGGUUUUGUUUAUCCAGCUUAAUUUUUUGUUAUUUUCAUCUAAUUCGGUUCGAAUUAACCGAAUUAAAAGUACAAUCGGUUAAUUUCGGAAUUGAUUUUUAA